GAUGAACGCUGGCGGCGUGCCUAAUACAUGCAAGUCGAGCGAACAGACGAGGAGCUUGCUCCUCUGACGUGAGCGGCGGACGGGUGAGAAACACGUGGAUAACCUACCUAUAAGACUGGGAUCACUUCGGGAAAGCGGAGCUAACACCGGAUAAUAUAUUGAACCGCAUGGUGCAAUAGUGAAAGACGGCUUUGCUGUCACUUCUAGAUGGAUCCGCGCCGCAUUAGCUAGUUGGUAAGGAAAAGGGCUACCAAGGCAACGAUGCGUGGCCGACCUGAGAGGGUGGUCGGCCACACUGGAACUGAGACACGGUCCAGACUACUACGGGAGGGCGCAGUAGGGAAUCUGCCGCAAUGGGCGAAAGCCUGACGGAGCAACGCCGCGUGAGUGAUGAAGGUCUUCGGAUCGUAAAACUCUGUUAUUAGGGAAGAACAAAUGUGUAAGUAACUAUGCACGUCUUGACGGUACCUAAUCAGAAAGCCACGGCUAACUACGUG
RNAcentral lists this ribosomal RNA (497 nucleotides) under uncultured bacterium. RNAcentral describes it as "partial 16S ribosomal RNA". It matches the Rfam family "Bacterial small subunit ribosomal RNA", at positions 28 to 507 of the family's 1533-position model. The record is from RNAcentral.